Long non-coding RNA from Triticum aestivum (bread wheat), 608 nucleotides. RefSeq lists it as uncharacterized. The record is from RefSeq and is a predicted model, not a curated record. Lineage: Eukaryota; Viridiplantae; Streptophyta; Magnoliopsida; Poales; Poaceae. The transcript has 3 exons.
UGGAUGCUUCCAUCUUAUAUUAGCAUCUUAUAUCUUCGUGAAAUUUGGAGCCCCUUUGCCUUUGAAAAUGUGAGGCGUUGAUACUUCCUGUGCAAAAGAAAAUCUCUUGUUAGGGAUUUUUCCAUUUAACAUGUGCUUGUUCUAGGGUAGCGGUACUCUCUCUGCUGUGGCUGCGUGUUCGACCGGCCAGCCAAGGAUCUCCAGCAAGCAUGUGCGCUUACUCUCCUUGCCCUUAAUUCCUGCCACAACAGCAGCUCCUGUGUAGUGUGAGCCAGAGAACUACUACACUAAUCAUGUUCCUGGCCUAGCAUGUGACAGUGGUGCCGCGAGGAUUUGCUGCCGUGGGAGGAGGGGCCCGACCCAGAUGGCGGCCACCAGUAGGUCACACACUUAUUCAGCUCGCCGUCUGGUUACUCUGAUGGCUUCUCUAAGGCGCUCGCAGAGGAGGCCAAGGGAUACAUGAUACUGGUAAUUUACUAAUGAUCCAUCUUAGUGGAAUGCUUUUGUUGUAGAUAUUUUCAUUGGUUGUCCUUUCAUUUUAUUUAUAUUCAUGGCUGGAUGGUGACUUCCACUAUGCUUCUUCACUGAAAAGGUGUUUCGCAUAUGCG